RNAcentral lists this long non-coding RNA (1259 nucleotides) under Olea europaea subsp. europaea. The record is from RNAcentral. Lineage: Eukaryota; Viridiplantae; Streptophyta; Magnoliopsida; Lamiales; Oleaceae.
AGAAGAUACAAGAUUGGAUUUCUUAAGCCCUUCCACUUUAGCAGGUUACUUCUCUCAAUGGGGGUAACAUUUAACAUUGUUUUCUACAUGAUUAUAAUUUUGCUGCAUUUGUCUACUCUAUUACUAAAUGUUUGAUACCUAAUAUUAGAUGACAUGGGAGAGUCAUCUGAUCAAAAUCUCAACUUAUUUUUCUUUUUAGAUUAUACCUCAUAUUUACACCUUAAAAACUUAAGUGCAGAAUUAUAUUCGAAACUUCUAACAUUAUGUUUGUGUUUCUUAGAUUUAGCUUAAUACAAGGGUGCCUUAAACCGAAACAAAGAUCAAUAUCGUAACAUGACUACAACAAGGAAUCAACGUCGACGCCAACGACAAUAAUUAGGUUUAUUUUGGACGAUGGUCAUGCAAGCGAUUGUGAUAAAUAGCCCUUGUUUGAGCCACAUUAUUUCCAUAAUAAUGUAUUGAUCGGAAAUGCGUGGUUAAAAAAUAAAAAAGUUUUGGAUGUGCGUGUAAUAUUAUUUUAUUGAAGAAUGUGUGGUUGAAAUGAUAUCAAAUCAUUAUUUAAGAAUUUAUUUUUUUUUUGGAAAGAAUGUGGGUCAAAUAGGGUCAUAAUGAUAUUAGGCGUCGUGAACAACAUCUCCCUAAAGCUCUUCAUAUAAAUUCGGAUUCUAAACGAGAAAUGACGCUUGCACAAAUGUUUGGUACGAGUGAUACAACAUGUCAUGAUCUGCUUAGAAUGAAUAUAGGUUCGUUUCAAAGAUUAUGUGCUCGUUAACUUAUGGAUUGAAUGAUAGUAAAUAUGUCCAAAUUGAGGAACAAGUGGCUAUUUUUUAAAUACUCCUAGAGGAUCAAGCUAGGCUCGUUGCCCUAUCGAGUAUUGCCGAAUCGUCUAAAAAAAUUGCUAAUGCUAUGGAGAUUGAAGUGACAUUGGAUAUGCUAAACCAUAUCAAUUGGCAAUUGGUUCUUGAAAAAUUACAAUGCAUUAACAUAGACAAGCAUGACAUAAUGCAACUCAUGAAAAUAUUUUGAUCAGAUGAGAGUUUUAGCUAGAGUAUUUAUGGGCUUGAUUGAUUAACAAUUCAUACGUGAUUUAGUAUUUGAGAAUAUUGGUCGUGAUCCGCCUCCACUACUUUAAUAUGAUUUGCUUGGAUAAUUCGACAAACAUAUGCAGAAGUAUGAUAUCUAUGUCGAUUUCAAUUGUUCUUACAAUAGAGAUUUUUUUUGGUUAUUUUCUAUUCAUGUUAUACAUUGGACAAAAUCUG